This is a long non-coding RNA of Branchiostoma floridae (Florida lancelet), 423 nucleotides long. RefSeq lists it as uncharacterized. Lineage: Eukaryota; Metazoa; Chordata; Leptocardii; Amphioxiformes; Branchiostomatidae. The record is from RefSeq and is a predicted model, not a curated record. The transcript is spliced from 3 exons.
GGUAUUUUCUAUGCGUUCUCCAUUGUGGGACCUGGCGUUGGGUAUUUACUCAGCAGCGUGUUUCUGAACAUACCAGGAGAUCUGAAGUACAGUACGGGCCUGACACCUGAGAGUCCACAGUGGGUGGGUGCAUGGUGGAUUGGAUUCCUACUGUCCGGGGCUAUGGCUGCGGUGUCAGCCAUAUUUCUGUUCGGAUUCCCUCGAAAACUUCCUGUACUGUCUGAAAAAAACACAAACCCAUCUAACACCGCGGAUACACCCCCGACGAAGAAUGAGCAUGGGACCGAGAGCACCAACAUCGCCACAAUAACUACGUCAUCAUCUCCAUCUCGUUCUGAAUCGGAAACCCCGACAGAACCUCAAAAUAUUACGUCAUCAGAAUCUGCAGACGACAAAAAAGAGCAGCAUCUGCGACAGUCCUGA